CUACUAUGGGUGUUUUCUGUGCUUCAACUUUACUUAUGUGGAAUUCUCAGAAGACACCUCCCCUCCUAAAGAAGGAUCUUCUUCUCAACUGUGGAUACUUCCAUCUCUUCAAGAUCCCCACAGGCCCAUGAUGUUUCCUGAUAUCUGGAUGAAGGGGACACUUGAAGCCACAGCAAUUUGCUGCAGGGCAGCCUCUCCUUUUGGCAAUACUGAGUCUUUUGUCUAGGAAAAGACAGCCCAGCAACUGCCUCCGUUUCCAUUGUUCUCUAGUACUGGGGUGGGUUUGCAGGAAAGUUGCCUCUGAGCAGAUGGCAGUGCUGUUUGAUGGAGGGAUUUCACGUUCAGAACACCAAUGAAUCGAGGUUUGUAUGUUCACACUGUGCACUGCUUCGUACCUGGCACAAAUUGCAUAUUUUUACAGUAUUGCCUGUGGAUAUGGCCCACUUAAAUUGCCUGUGUAGAAAUCAUGGCUCAAUUUAUGUCCUGUUCCAAAUCUGCUGCAGAAGAGUCCAUCAUGCAAGAGACUAAUUUUUAAUUGGCAGAAGGCCAUGUGCUGUGUGCCUGCCAAAGAGGAAGUGCUUCAGGACCAUUCUCUGAAAUGAAUUAAGAAAAUGCCUUUGUUGCUUGUGAUGAAUCAGAAAGCCACCUGACAAAGACUCCCAAGCCAUGAAUCCCCAAAUACUUACUGCCAGCACUAAAGACACCUGAAAGAGAUGUAAUAGGGUCCAGAAUCCCCCAGUGAAAUUCAACUUGUUUAUUACCAUAGGGCUUUGGCCUACAAAACCUGC
RNAcentral lists this long non-coding RNA (788 nucleotides) under Homo sapiens (human). Its description in RNAcentral is "HSALNT0007811". Lineage: Eukaryota; Metazoa; Chordata; Mammalia; Primates; Hominidae. The record is from RNAcentral.